GCUCACUCGUCGUCGCCGCCGUCGCUCGCCCCUCAUCGCAGAUCGGAGAUCGGCCUCUGCUCCGGUGCUCCCUCCGGCCCUCCCUCAAGAUCGUCGACGCCGGAGGGUUUUUCUUUGUAAAUCUUUGUAGAUUGUCGUUGCUUCCUUCGCUCCGGCUCCGGCUCCGGCAGUCCGCCCCUCCCUCAAGGUUUGAAAUUUCGGUUGAAUUCCCAACAUGUUCAAGUAUAUAAUAAUAUAUGAAAGUUGAUAAUUUUGUAUCCAAUAGACUUAAAAAUUAUAUUU
Quercus lobata is the source of this 282-nucleotide long non-coding RNA. RefSeq lists it as uncharacterized. Lineage: Eukaryota; Viridiplantae; Streptophyta; Magnoliopsida; Fagales; Fagaceae. The transcript has 3 exons. The record is from RefSeq and is a predicted model, not a curated record.